This 1484-nucleotide long non-coding RNA is filed under the name Piliocolobus tephrosceles (Ugandan red Colobus). RNAcentral describes it as "lncRNA (ENSPTEG00000037353.1)". The record is from RNAcentral. Lineage: Eukaryota; Metazoa; Chordata; Mammalia; Primates; Cercopithecidae.
UUUGGUGUUUUGGCCCGGCGCAGUGGUUCACGCCUGUAAUCUCAGCACUUUGCGAGGCCGAGGCGGCGGAUCACCUGAGGUCAGGAGUUGGAGACCAGCCUGGCCAACAUGGUGAAACCCCGUCUCUACUAAAAUAUACAAAAACUAGCCAGGCCUGUUGGCAGGCGACUUAAUCCCGGGUACUUGGGAGGCAGAGGCAGGAGAAUCAUUUGAACCCGGGAGGCAGAGGUUUCAGUGAGCCGAGAUCGAGCCAUUGUGCUUAAACUUGGGGGAUAAGAGCGAGACUUCUCUCAAACAAAAAAAGUUGUUUUGUUUUGUUUUUGUUUGUUUUGCGGCAGGGUCUCACUCUGUCACCGAGGCUGGAGUGCAGUGGCGCGACCUCGGCUCAUUGCAGCCUGUCUCUUGACAGUCCGCGGGUUAAAGCGAUUCUCUUGUCUCAGCCUUCUGAGUAGCUGUGAUUACAGGCGCCCGCUACCACGCCUGGCUAACUUGUGUUUUUAAUAGAGACGGCGUUUCACCGUGUUGGCCAGGCUGGUCUCGAACUCCUGAUCUCAAAUGACCCACCUUUAGUCUCCCAAAGUGCUGGGAUUCCAGGUAUGAGCCACCGCGCUAGGACCCAAGGCCCUUAAGUUUUAAGGCCUCAUUCUUCAGUCAGGUUUUCCUUGUUCCUGUGUGCUCAGCCAAUUGGUUUUGAGUUUGUGUUUAAGGAGAAACUAACAAUGAAAAUGGACUCGAUGAUGGAAGAAAAGCUGGAAUGCAGCCUCUGGUGCUGUUUGAGCGAUCCCUCUCUCCGGGGCCUGGCUGCGCGCUGCUGUGUUCUGGAAAGGCGCAUUGUACCAUAGAUGCGGCAGUGUCUCUCUUCCUACACAUUUCAUUAUUGAGAAAAUGGAUGAAUAGAGAAGCUGAGAGAAGCUAAAUUACUUGCAACAAGUGAGUGACAGACCUGGACAUUGAGUGCAGAGGCCCCUAAUUUGCUACUCUCCCAACUUUCUUGUAACCAACCAUUUGAAUUACUCACAGGAGUAAGAAAAUGGCUUCUCUGCCCAAAAGCAACUCACGAUUCUGCCAAGUGACCUGAAAUGUCAAUACAGAUGAUAUCCGACUUACCCUGGUUUGAAUUAGGAUUUCUUUACUUAUAUGAUGUAUUUAUCAGGACAUAAUUCCAUCCUCAGUGGAAGAGCAUCUGGACUUAAAAUGGUUCAACUUACAACUUUUCAGUUUUACAAUGGGUUUUUCAGGGUAUUAAAUGCAUUUUCAACUUAGGAUAUUUUUGAUUUCCAGUGUAUUUAUUGGGACAUAACCACAUUGUAAGUCUAGAAACAUCUGUCUUAGAAACUUAAAGGCUUUGUUAUCUUCAAAUAUAUCUUAAUGAAAUGUAAGUAUCUUUGAAAAAAUAAUACUUUAGUAAAUAUUCAUCUACAUCCAAUUAUUUUUAAUGGUAUUAGACAUACAAGGAGAGCCAUAGCAAAAAACAAAAAAGGGAU